Cebus imitator (Panamanian white-faced capuchin) is the source of this 899-nucleotide non-coding RNA. The record is from the annotation of a RefSeq genome assembly. NCBI's taxonomy places the organism in Eukaryota, Metazoa, Chordata, Mammalia, Primates, Cebidae.
GGUCCUAGAGGAGAGGAAUGAAAUACAGAUUGUGAGGGGACCCAUGUGAUGGGACAAUCCUGUCGGGCACCUGUGACUGGGAGAAUGGGGGAGGCUGGGGAAUGAAUGGGGAUGGCACUGGGGACCCUGCCUUGCAGGAAAGACAGUGAGCUCACCUCUUGGUGCCUUGUGUUGGGGGCGCUGUUGGCACAUCCUAGAGAACAUGCCCAGCAGACAGAGGAGCGGCUGUGGGAUGAGAAGUUCAACUCAGAGAGGCAGAGUGACGCCUCCGGGUCCAGACAGCUCUGGAUCACAAAGUGAAGACACAAAAGAUGCAUUGAUGUUAUUUAAAAGGAGCUAAUAAAUAUCUAAAGCAGUCAUUCAAAUGUGUUCUAAUAUGAAUCCUGUGUUCCUGACAUUGUAGGGAUUGAGACAGAAAGUGAUGUCACUGCGGGAACUGUUCUGUGUUGGGACAAGGACCGAGGACGUCCCUCCUCCUCUGCUUCUGCUUGUGACCCUGAUCGGGUAACGUUCCCACCCUGCUCUGACCCUCUGACUCUGCCAUGGGCACCAGGCUCCUCUGCUGGGCAGCCCUGUGUCUCCUGCAGACAGAUCACACAGGUGCUGGAGUCUCCCAGUCCCCCAGUAACAAGGUCACAGAGAAGGGAAAGGAUGUAGCUCUCAGGUGUGAUCCAAUUUCAGGUCAUACGGUCCUUUAUUGGUACCGACAGAGCCCCGGGCAGGGCCCAGAGUUUCUAAUUUACUUCCAAGGCAAGGAUAUAGCAGACGAUUCGGGGCUGCCCAGUGAUCGGUUCUCUGCAGAGAGGUCUAGGGGAUCCGUCUCCACUCUGCAGAUCCAGCGCACAGAGCAGGCAGACUCAGCGGUGUAUCUCUGUGCCAGCAGCUUAGCCACAGCGUGA